Molecule: transfer RNA, 85 nt
Filed under: Cryomorphaceae bacterium BACL11 MAG-121015-bin20
Lineage: Bacteria; Pseudomonadati; Bacteroidota; Flavobacteriia; Flavobacteriales; Cryomorphaceae
Description: tRNA-Leu
Rfam family: tRNA
About the family: Transfer RNA (tRNA) molecules are approximately 80 nucleotides in length.
Source: RNAcentral
GCAGGCGUGAUGGAAUUGGUAGACAUGCUAGACUUAGGAUCUAGUGCCGCGAGGCGUGGGGGUUCGAGUCCCUUCACCCGCACAA